Molecule: long non-coding RNA, 585 nt
Organism: Rosa chinensis
Lineage: Eukaryota; Viridiplantae; Streptophyta; Magnoliopsida; Rosales; Rosaceae
Exons: 3
Source: RefSeq, a predicted model, not a curated record
GCAAUUGGACUGUUAUUUUACAAAACACCAUAACUUGGGGUCUGUUUUCAAUGAAAUGAAGGAGAAAUAGAGAAGAUUCAUAGUCUCUAAACCAUGUAAUUUUCAUUUGCAGGUCCAAACCAUCUUCCAAGAGUUGCAAUUGUUAGAAGACCAAAUGUUGGGACUCAAUGUUGGUCUGGACUCUGGAGCAAAGCUUUAGAUCUCCUAAAGUGACAAAGGAUGGGAUCACUGUAGCAAAGAGCUUUGGGUUCAGAAUUACAUGCUCAAAUUCCUUGAGCUUUCAAAUGAAAAAGAAACACAGAUCAAGUGGACUUCUGACAGGGAAUACAGGAGAAAGAUACUGAGGUUACUAACCAUACUUGCCUUGAGAGAUUCAUACUUGAUGAGGUAAGGUAGUAGUCUAGCUAGUUCGUAGCUAGUAUCUGCUAUUAAUUUGCUUGUUUUUUCUUUUUUCUCUUUCUUUAUCUUUAUCUGUUCAUGCAACUAUUUUGAUUUGCCUCCUUAGAUGGAGUAGCUUAUGAGAUUAUAGUGUUUAAUUACAUGAUGGAGACGAUUUAGGAGAAGGGUAGGCAAAUUUGACAAGGU